GGGUUGUGAGGUUAAGCGACUAAGCGUACACGGUGGAUGCCCUGGCAGUCAGAGGCGAUGAAGGACGUGCUAAUCUGCGAUAAGCGUCGGUAAGGUGAUAUGAACCGUUAUAACCGGCGAUUUCCGAAUGGGGAAACCCAGUGUGUUUCGACACACUAUCAUUAACUGAAUCCAUAGGUUAAUGAGGCGAACCGGGGGAACUGAAACAUCUAAGUACCCCGAGGAAAAGAAAUCAACCGAGAUUCCCCCAGUAGCGGCGAGCGAACGGGGAGCAGCCCAGAGCCUGAAUCAGUGUGUGUGUUAGUGGAAGCGUCUGGAAAGGCGCGCGAUACAGGGUGACAGCCCCGUACACAAAAAUGCACAUACUGUGAGCUCGAUGAGUAGGGCGGGACACGUGGUAUCCUGUCUGAAUAUGGGGGGACCAUCCUCCAAGGCUAAAUACUCCUGACUGACCGAUAGUGAACCAGUACCGUGAGGGAAAGGCGAAAAGAACCCCGGCGAGGGGAGUGAAAAAGAACCUGAAACCGUGUACGUACAAGCAGUGGGAGCACGCUUCGGCGUGUGACUGCGUACCUUUUGUAUAAUGGGUCAGCGACUUAUAUUCUGUAGCAAGGUUAACCGAAUAGGGGAGCCGAAGGGAAACCGAGUCUUAACUGGGCGUUAAGUUGCAGGGUAUAGACCCGAAACCCGGUGAUCUAGCCAUGGGCAGGUUGAAGGUUGGGUAACACUAACUGGAGGACCGAACCGACUAAUGU
RNAcentral lists this ribosomal RNA (755 nucleotides) under Escherichia coli. RNAcentral describes it as "partial 23S ribosomal RNA". It matches the Rfam family "Bacterial large subunit ribosomal RNA", at positions 1 to 789 of the family's 2925-position model. Lineage: Bacteria; Pseudomonadati; Pseudomonadota; Gammaproteobacteria; Enterobacterales; Enterobacteriaceae. The record is from RNAcentral.